UCGUUAAGUAAUUCAUAACUUAUCAUGAUAUUAAUAAUCAUGAAUAUUGAUAUAAAAGUAAAAAAUAUUAGACAAAUUGCAUUUUUAUUUCCAUAUGUUAGAAUAUAUUUUUUAUUUUAAGUGAUUUCAUUAUUCUUUCAUUAUUUUAACUGUUUCAAAAAAAUAAUAAAGUUUUCUUUAACAAAUGCUUGAUAAAAAAAAGGUAAAGUAUUAUAUAUUUUUUUAUUCAAUUCUUUUUGUUAUUAUAACUUUUCUUUCAGAGAAUUGUAAUCGCGCGCAAUGCGAUUAGUAAAUUCAGUGUUUGCUUCGUAAUAGUAUUUUUUAUUUUUAAAAGUGUGACAAUUCAGAGUGAAUUUAAUUUAUAUAAAAUAACAUAUAUAAUAUUUACACGCGAAAUUAGAGUCAGUGUUUGUUUGCCGAUAACACAAUAUAGUAUAUUAACGAAUAAUAAUAGUAACUUAUUUUUAUUUUUUUAUUUAAAAUAUUCAUUUUCGGUAGAGUCAGUGCUUCUCUUAGAAUAUGAAGGCGAUUAUUCAUCACAUGAUGAGAUAUUUCUCAAACGACGACUUGACAUGAAUCAGGACAACUAAUGGCAACGCAGAUUCUUCGCAUCAAUUGGUGAGUCGCAUGCAUUUUUGUUCCUCUGGUUAUUCAAUCAUGUCGCAGGAUGAAAGAUCCGAACCGACACG
Molecule: long non-coding RNA, 689 nt
Organism: Apis florea (little honeybee)
Lineage: Eukaryota; Metazoa; Arthropoda; Insecta; Hymenoptera; Apidae
Source: RefSeq, a predicted model, not a curated record